GCACAAAUUAAUCUUAUGGCUUGCCUCUUGAAGAACCACACAAAGUUUUGGAUGUUUUUACAGUAGUGUAGCAGCAGUGAUGGUGUGAGGCUAUAAGCAUGACAGAAUUUAUAGAAAGAGAUUAGGUCUAGCAGCUGACCAUGUUGUAGUAAGCAGACACAUAAGCUCUUCUUUGGGCCUGUUUUAGAUUUGAGGAACUUAUGUCUCUGAAAGCAUGUUUUGCCUAGGAAAUAUGUUGGUCUAAUAAACCUCUUUUCCACCAGUGUUGCCCCACUGCUGAUUUAAGGAUACUCUUCAGGAGAAAAGUUUCAGCAGGAAAUUCAGCACUUACCCUUGAAACAUUAACUCGUAGACCCACAUUGUUAAAGGCACAUCAGAGGUAGGAGUGCAGUACCUCUGCAGCCAGUUACACACUGAUUUAAUUCUUCUCCCGUUCUCUCCCCACUGCCAGGCACCACCACACGCCAUCUAGUGAAGUAACAAAGAACGCUGCCAGACGUAUCGUGUGCAUGCAGGCUACAUUUAUCAUAUUAAACCAUGAAAUGAUGCCUACUGGAGAGAGCAGGCUCUUUUUUUCAAACUCCAGUUAUUUGUUUUAAGGAAAGAGCUACUUCCACCAGCUAUGUAAUUUCACAAAUCCACAAAACAAACAAGUUGCCAUUCUGCAAAACCCUCAUACCUAUGGAAUUCGCAUUUCCUGUGAGGUGUGGAUUUCAGCUGUGUGGAAUUCUCAGACCUUUCUGACCCUGACUUAUCAUUUCCUGAUGUUUUAUUGCUAAGCCAUUGAGGUUUCA
This 794-nucleotide long non-coding RNA is filed under the name Cyanistes caeruleus (blue tit). RNAcentral's name for it is "lncRNA (ENSCCEG00000023765.1)". Lineage: Eukaryota; Metazoa; Chordata; Aves; Passeriformes; Paridae. The record is from RNAcentral.